Ailuropoda melanoleuca (giant panda) is the source of this 110-nucleotide small nuclear RNA. The record is from Ensembl. Lineage: Eukaryota; Metazoa; Chordata; Mammalia; Carnivora; Ursidae.
GUGUUUGCUUUAUUAGCACAUAUACUAAAGCUAGAACGAUACAGAGAAGAUUAGCUAUGUCUCUUUCCUACACAAGGAUGACAUGCAAAUUCAAGACACUCCAUGUUUUA